This 348-nucleotide non-coding RNA is filed under the name Perkinsus marinus ATCC 50983. RNAcentral describes it as "Eukaryotic small subunit ribosomal RNA". It matches the Rfam family "Eukaryotic small subunit ribosomal RNA", at positions 1478 to 1831 of the family's 1831-position model. The record is from Rfam by way of RNAcentral. Lineage: Eukaryota; Perkinsozoa; Perkinsida; Perkinsidae.
UGUUCUGGGCUGCACGCGCGCUACACUGACACGAUCACAAGUAUUUCCUUGCCCGGUAGGUUUAGGGUAUCUUUUGAAAUCGUGUCGUGCUAGGGAUAGACGAUGCAAAUAAUUCGUCUUCAACGAGGAAUUCCUAGUAAAUGCAAGUCAUCAGCUUGCGUUGAUUACGUCCCUGCCCUUUGUACACACCGCCCGUCGCUCCUACCGAUUGAGUGAUCCGGUGAGCUGUCCGGACUGCGAUUAGUUCAGUUUCUGUUCUCUUCGCGGGAAGUUCUGCAAACCUUAUCACUUAGAGGAAGGAGAAGUCGUAACAAGGUUUCCGUAGGUGAACCUGCGGAAGGAUCAUUC